AGCCACGCCUCUGAGUCGCGCUGCGCAGGCGCCAUUGGGCAGAGGGAUUGGCAAGCUUGCGUUCCCCAGCGACACAGGCCUCGAGGCUGUCUCUGACAAGUGUUCACAGGAGGUGGGGACGCCUCUGCGCGAGGAACGAGGAGCUACGGGCCUGGGCCCGGCUAUUGCCAUGGGCAGCGGCUGCCGCAUCGAAUGCAUAUUCUUCAGCGAGUUCCACCCCACGCUGGGACCCAAGAUCACCUAUCAGGUCCCUGAAGACUUCAUCUCCCGAGAGCUGUUUGACACAGUCCAAGUGUACAUCAUCACCAAGCCAGAGCUGCAGAACAAGCUUAUCACUGUGUGAGACCCUAGCUCGGGGUGAGCGGUGGGUGGCAGGGGUUGUCCCAGGAGGAGGAAGGGACAGGCUUGGGGGCCUGACUGUGUUCCAAUUAUCCAGCACAGCUAUGGAAAAGAAGCUGAUCGGCUGUCCUGUGUGCAUCGAACACAAGAAGUACAGCCGCAAUGCCCUCCUCUUCAACCUGGGCUUCGUGUGUGAUGCCCAGGCCAAGACCUGCGCCCUCGAGCCCAUCGUUAAAAAGCUGGCUGGCUAUCUGACCACACUAGAGGUCUGCAAUGAGAUGGGCUUGGGUUUACGGACAGGCAGAGUUGGGGAAGGUGUUCCCAUGUCUCCAAAGUCCCCCAAACCUGGGACCCUGCCAACCAGCUCAGGACUCAGGGCAGCCAACCAGCCAGGGGUCCUGGGAUGUGCCCACCAUGCUUUCCAUGCUCUAUCUAGCUAGAGAGCAGCUUCGUGUCCAUGGAGGAGAGCAAGCAGAAGUUGGUGCCCAUCAUGACC
Molecule: small RNA, 835 nt
Filed under: Pongo abelii (Sumatran orangutan)
Lineage: Eukaryota; Metazoa; Chordata; Mammalia; Primates; Hominidae
Description: retained intron
Source: RNAcentral